Molecule: long non-coding RNA, 5371 nt
Filed under: Sus scrofa (pig)
Lineage: Eukaryota; Metazoa; Chordata; Mammalia; Artiodactyla; Suidae
Description: lncRNA (ENSSSCG00035067814.1)
Source: RNAcentral
AGUACAUGGGGGUGUGGAGAACCCGCUCAUCAUCCUGCUCAUCAGGCUGGACCCUUGCCUCCACACCCCCAUGUACUUCUUUCUCAGCCACGUGGCCCUCACAGACAUCUCCUUUUCCUCUGUCACUUUCCCUAAGAUGCUGAUGAACAUGCAGACUCAGGAUCAAUCCAUUACCUUGCAGGAUGUGUAAUACAGACGUGUUUUUUCAUAUUUUUUGCUUGCAUUGAUAACAGUAGGUCUUAAAACAAAUGCAGGCAGUUACUCUUUUCCUCCACAAGAAAGUGAGAGACCCUUGUGUGGAAUCCAAAAUUGCAGUUUUAGUGUGUCUGGUAUUUCCUAUGCCACUCCUUCCCCAGGCACUUGACCCUCCUGCCAGGAACAGGCAUCUCACUGAAAGCUGCUGGGCCAGACUUAGCCCAGGAUCUCACAGAUAUCCUGCAGGAGAACCAAAGCUCCUAAUGACACCCAAGAGCUGCAAUAGGAACAGAGGGUAACAAUACAGAUGUGGUACUUUGAUUCCAUCAGCAGCACUGUGUGCAAAGAUGUGGCCAGAUAAUUGCUCAGUAGUGAAUAGGAGACAGAGUGUGACUUAGACGUGUUGUGUUGAGAGAGACACUAUGGAUGGGCAUGAUUUUUCUGUCUUAAUACCAAAUAUUGUCCCCUGCACUAUAGGAAAUGGAGAGUCAAGUGGUAGAGUCUCCACAAGGCUAAAAUUUGCUAAAUGUUUCAAUGUGCCUCACUUCUUAAGCACCUUACUGACAAGAUCUGCAAGCGACUAGCAUAAUCCCAUGUAAAAGCACUGCAUGCUGAGAAUCACCAUGGCCAAAGCCAAGGCCACCAAUUCAUUAAGUUGGGAAAAGAUAAAGAUCUGAUUGUCCACAUAUAUAAUCCCAGAAAUGAGGAUUUUAUUUCUAAACUGUUUGAUCCAGCUACACACACUGAAAUGUCAAGCAUCCUAGACCAGAACUGUUGUCAUCACAAGAAGUCAUUCAUAUUUGAAUCGCAAGCAGGGCACUAGGUCUUAGAGCACACAAGCAGCAGAUGCAAGUAGAAUACACAAACACUUAGGAAAUGUCCAGGCUUCUCUAACCUCUGUAUAUCCUAGUGUGUGCCAUUCAGUGUGUUCGUCAGUUACACAUACACACAUAGACUCAUACAUCAGAGAUACACAAAUACACAUAACUUCUCUGAUGGUCACACACACUUACACAUAGACACACAUGCAUGACUAGGGAGGUUUCUGGACUCCUUCUGAACUAUACCUGUGCUCAGAGUUCAAAUACCUUCUGCUUCAUUCUGUUACCUGAAUCCUCACUUUUUUUUCCAGAAGACCCAGAAUCCAAAGAAAAAGAGCAAACCUUGGUGACCUGAGGACCUGUACAGACACUCAUGCUGGUUCUCCAGCUUCAAAAUGAUGCACAAGAUCUCCUUUUCUACAUCCUAAAGAGACCUUGGAGGGAAACCAUCCCAAGUCCCUGACUAGAGAAGUUCACUGGGGCAACUGCCCAACUUCCUCCUGGCCCCUUGGAACAGAGGAUGAUUAGGGUCCACAGGAGCUGAGCUGCACCUUAUUUCACAGGAGAAAGUGUCAAUGAUAUGAGUAGUACUUUGGGCUUCUAGUCGAGUAUCUGAUAAGAAGCAGGAGUUUCUGCAUUGGCUGGGACCUCUGCAUCAUGAUCACAGGUUCUCCCAAGCGUGGUGUAUGGCACAGGCAGUGGAAGGGCUUCUGCCCCCAACACUGACACAAACUUUCAUUAGAACACAAAGCCCCUUAAAAUGUGCAUGUCUCCCCACUCCCCUGGAAGGUUUUGUAUGUAGGUCCAUGCCUUGUUCAGGAGGAGGGAGAUUGAAUAUAAAACUGGAAAAAAGAGUCUGGGUACAUCCCCUUCCAAGAGAGCAUACUUGAGCAAAUUAUCAAAACCACUGAGACUCAGUUACUUCAAAGUGGAAAUAAUGAUCACAGUCUUUGUGUGAGUUGGGAUAUUGGUUAAAGGAACACCUAAUGAAAGUUUUUUAAAUGUUAAGGCUUAUUGUCAAUUUCUUUGUAUCACUACAGAUCAGCUAUGGCUCCCAACAGGCAAUUGCGACUGGUAACUGUUGAAUGAUUUCAUCUGUUCAUUCAUUCACUCACUCCUUUAAAUAAUCAUUCAGGUUCCCACAAAUGUAAUACUGAUAUAUUCUCUAGAGACAUAAUAGAUAAUAAUAUAACCAGAAAUCCCUCUCUUAGAACACACAUCCAAUUUGGAGGUGGUUCAGAACAAAACUUAUUAAGGCAAAAUGAAUGGUAGGUAAACAGUGAAAACUGCUGCAGAAUAAUGAAAUCAUGCAUGGAGUACGGGAGACUCAAAAAGUUCAUAAAAUACCCAAUGUCACAGGACUGUUUUUCAGAGGACUCCAAUCUUUUACAGGGCUCCAAUCAAGUGGCUACAGGUUUGUAAACUGGUUUAUUUCCUUAUAAACCUUUUAGUAUGUCUAAAAUUGAGAGAACCAAUGCCCUCAGUGCCACUGAAGAUAUGAUGGAACUGGAACCCUCAUACACUGCUCAUGGGACUAGAGAAGAGUUUGAACAUUUCAUUUAAAAGUUAAUCAUAUACCUAGCACGUGAGUAGGUGUUUUUCUAAAGAAAAUGAAUGUAUAUAUUUAUGCAUAGAUUUAUUCGAGGAUGUUCAUAAGAGCAUUAUUUAAUAGCCAGAAGCUGGAAAUAGCCCAGGUGUUCAUCAAUGGACUUAUUUUAUUAAGUGAAUGUAUUUCCUCUAAGCACAAGAAAAUAUACUUAGUAUUUUGUAAUAUCUUAUCAGGGAAAUGUAUCUGAGAAAAAAAUACAUAUGUGUGUGUGUAUAAUGGAAUCAUUUUAUUGUAUGCUUGAAACAAACACAACAUUGUAAAUGAACUAUAUACUUCAAUUAAAAAUAAAGUCAAAUGAAAGUAAAAAAAAGAACAGAAACAGGUUAAAAAUUAAAAAUAAAUGAUUAAAAAUUUUAAAAGAAGAAAGAAACUUUUAAAAGGUGAAUGGAGAGGCAUGAGAUUAAAAAUGGCUGUAAGCAAGAGAGGAGGCAAGAUGGUGGAAGAGUAGGGGGACAUGCUUGCCCUCUCCCACAUACGUAACAAAAAAAACAUCUACAUGUAAAAUGACUCACAGAGAACAACAACUGAAUGCUGGCAGAAGAACCUAAACCUCCAAAAAAUAGCAAGAAUCUCUUGACAUAAGAAAAGACGAGAGAGAAGGGAAUCAGGACUGGACUGGCACUCCCAAGAGGGAGCUGAGAAGGAGAAAGGGAACCCAAACCCUGGAAAGUCACCUAACCAUCAGAAAGAUCAACCAAGUUGGAGGGAUAUCCUGAUGCCAAGAAAAGCACAGCAGCAGGUCUGAGAUCUGAAAAGCAGAGUGAGAACCACAAAGAUCAUCUGAACCACUGGCACAGACACCAAAAACUGAGAUGCUCAGGUGGGGGCUGGGUACCAAGACCAAGGCUCUUGAGGUUAGUCCCUGGGAGCGGGCUUGUGUUGUUGGUGUGGAGACAGCCUGAGAGACUAGGAAGUGGUGCGUUGCAGGUAGAGAGCAAUAGCUAAGGGCUGGGGAGUGGAAAGCCACAACAGAUGGAACCAGGGAGAAGGUCUGAACCCACUGUAGACACAAGGCACCAGUGUGGGUAGGGGAGAGGAGGAGGGGUGGGCUGCCAUAGAAUACACCUUAGGCUCCAGUUGCAUGCCUGCCUGCCAGUUAGCAGACAGCAGACCUUCCCAGUGCAUUCCCCCGCCUCCACUCAACAUUCACCUGGCCAGAAGCUGCCUGCCAUCCCAGUGGACUGGCCUCACCAUUUGCGGGAAGCCAACAACCACUGAGGAUUUCACCAGCUCAGCCUGCCCACACAGAGGAAGCACCCCACAACCCAUGGAGCAAGCUGCCCAAAACUGCUUCCACUCAGGAAGACCUCUGCAGCCCAGGAGCACCAGGACAAACCUUGUCCAGCCAUGGGAAGUGUUCCUCCACCACAGCACAUGCCUGCCAGUCCUGCCUGCCCUCAGGAAGUGCUCCUUUGCCUGGGAGUGAGCCAGGUAGACCCGCCUGCCCUCUGGAAGUGCUGCACUUCUGUGGAGCAUGCUGGCCAGCACUGCCUGAUCUCAGGAAGAGCUCUGAAGCCCAGGAGCACAAGGGAAAGCCCUGCCUGGCCACUGGAAGUGCACCUCCACUGCGGUGCACACCUGCCAGUCAUACCCAUCCUUGGGAAGUGCUCCUUUGCUUCAGAGUAACCCUGCUAGCCCCACCCACCCUGGGGAAGCACCCUCUGCCACGGAGUGGGAGUGACAUGGCUAGCCUUGCACACACUUGGGAAAAGCCCUGCUGCUUCAAAGAAGGCCAGAAAACAACACCUUCCCUCAGGAAUCCCUCCCCAGCAGCAUCAGUGCAAACCAUGCAAGGCCAUAGGGAGUGCACCUUCUCCACAAAAAAGAAAAACACAAACAAGAUGAAGAAGCUCAGAAACCAUUCCCAGUUAAAGCAACCAGAGAACUCACCUAAAGCAGUCAACAGUGAAACAGACCUCUGCAGUCUGAUAGACUUGGAGUUCAAAAGGGAGACAGUGAAAAUACUGAAGGAAUUAAGAGAAUAUAUGAACAGUAACACAGAUUCCCUCAGAAAGGAACUAGGAAAUAUGAGGAGGAGCCAAGAAAAUAUAUAAAAUUCAUUUGCAGAGACACAAACUGAUCUAAGGGCACUAAAAAAACAGAAUGAAUAAUACAGAGGAAUGAAUUAAUGAUGUGGAAGAUAGAAUAAUGGAAGUCACCCAAAUAGGACAACAGGCAGACAGAAAACCAAAUGAAAAAACAUGAAAACAAAAUAAGAGACCUAUAGGAUAAUAUAAAGCUGGCCAAUCUAUGCAUAAUAGGAAUUCCAGAAGGAGAAGAAAAAGAAAAGGGUAUUGAAAAUAUAAUUGAAGAAAUUAUCACUGGAAACAUUCCAAAUUUAAAAGAUACUUAUUUCAAGAUACAGGAAGUACAGAGGGCCCCAAACAAAUUGAACUCAAAUAGACUCACACCAAGACAUAUAUUACUAAAAAUGGUAAAAGUUAAUGAUAAAAAGAGGAUCCCAAAAUAAGCAAGAGAAAAGCAAAAUAUCAAUUACAAGGGACUCCCAUAAGGCUAUCAGCUGAUUUCUCUACAAAAACUCUACAGGCCAUAGGGGAAUGGCAAGAGAUACUUAAAGACCUGAAGAGAAAAAAUAUGCAACCUAUAAUACUCUAUCCAGCAAGAAUGUCAUUUAAAAUACAAGGGGAAAUAAAAAAACUUCACCAACAAACAAAAGCCAAAAGACUAUACCAAUACCAAACCCAUUCUAAAAGAAAUACUGAAAGGGAUUCCCUAAAUAAAAAAA